GAUGAACGCUGGCGGCGUGCCUAAUACAUGCAAGUCGAGCGAACAGACGAGGAGCUUGCUCCUCUGACGUUAGCGGCGGACGGGUGAGUAACACGUGGAUAACCUACCUAUAAGACUGGGAUAACUUCGGGAAACCGGAGCUAAUACCGGAUAAUAUAUUGAACCGCAUGGUUCAAUAGUGAAAGACGGUUUUGCUGUCACUUAUAGAUGGAUCCGCGCCGCAUUAGCUAGUUGGUAAGGUAACGGCUUACCAAGGCAAUGAUGCGUAGCCGACCUGAGAGGGUGAUCGGCCACACUGGAACUGAGACACGGUCCAGACUCCUACGGGAGGCAGCAGAAGGGAAUCUUCCGCAAUGGGCGUAAGCCUGACGGAGCAACGCCGCGUGAGUGAUGAAGGUCUUCGGAUCGUAAAACUCUGUUAUUAGGGAAGAACAAAUGUGUAAGUAACUAUGCACGUCUUGACGGUACCUAAUCAGAAAGCCACGGCUAACUACGUG
Molecule: ribosomal RNA, 497 nt
Filed under: uncultured bacterium
Lineage: Bacteria
Description: partial 16S ribosomal RNA
Rfam family: Bacterial small subunit ribosomal RNA
Source: RNAcentral